UUGGAGGGCAAGUCUGGUGCCAGCAGCCGCGGUAAUUCCAGCUCCAAUAGCGUAUAUUAAAGUUGUUGCAGUUAAAAAGCUCGUAGUUGAAUUUCGGGGUUUAUCCGUUGGUCGGGCUUUUGGGUCUGUACUGGCGUGAUGAAUUCCUACCUUCUGAAUAACCAGCAUGCCAUUAAUUUGGUGCGCUGGGGAAGCAGGACUGUUACCUUGAAAAAAUUAGAGUGCUUAAAGCAGGCUAUUGCCUGAAUACAUUAGCAUGGAAUAAUGAAAUAGGACGCAUGGUUCUAUUUUGUUGGUUUCUAGGAUCACCGUAAUGAUUAAUAGGGAUAGUUGGGGGCAUUAGUAUUCAAUUGUCAGAGGUGAAAUUCUUGGAUUUAUUGAAGACUAACUUCUGCGAAAGCAUUUGCCAAGGAUGUUUUCAUUAAUCAAGAACGAAAGUUAGGGGAUCGAAGACGAUCAGAUACCGUCGUAGUCCUAACCAUAAACUAUGCCGACUAGGGAUCGGACGAUGUUAAUUUUUUAAUGACUCGUUCGGCGCCUUACGGGAAAC
RNAcentral lists this ribosomal RNA (550 nucleotides) under uncultured Diversisporales. RNAcentral describes it as "SSU rRNA". It matches the Rfam family "Eukaryotic small subunit ribosomal RNA", at positions 548 to 1098 of the family's 1831-position model. The record is from RNAcentral. Lineage: Eukaryota; Fungi; Glomeromycota; Glomeromycetes; Diversisporales.